GACGAACGCUGGCGGCGUGCCUAAUACAUGCAAGUUGAGCGCUGAAGGUUGGUACUUGUACCAACUGGAUGAGCAGCGAACGGGUGAGUAACGCGUGGGGAAUCUGCCUUUGAGCGGGGGACAACAUUUGGAAACGAAUGCUAAUACCGCAUAAAAACUUUAAACACAAGUUUUAAGUUUGAAAGAUGCAAUUGCAUCACUCAAAGAUGAUCCCGCGUUGUAUUAGCUAGUUGGUGAGGUAAAGGCUCACCAAGGCGAUGAUACAUAGCCGACCUGAGAGGGUGAUCGGCCACCUUGGGACUGAGACACGGCCCAAACUCCUACGGGAGGCAGCAGUAGGGAAGCUUCGGCAAUGGACGAAAGUCUGACCGAGCAACGCCGCGUGAGUGAAGAAGGGUUUCGGAUCGUAAAACUCUGUUGGUAGAGAAGAACGUUGGUGAGAGUGGAAAGCUCAUCAAGUGACGGUAACUACCCAGAAAGGAACGGCUAACUACGUG
Molecule: ribosomal RNA, 497 nt
Filed under: uncultured bacterium
Lineage: Bacteria
Description: partial 16S ribosomal RNA
Rfam family: Bacterial small subunit ribosomal RNA
Source: RNAcentral